RNAcentral lists this ribosomal RNA (253 nucleotides) under uncultured bacterium. RNAcentral describes it as "partial 16S ribosomal RNA". It matches the Rfam family "Bacterial small subunit ribosomal RNA", at positions 524 to 776 of the family's 1533-position model. The record is from RNAcentral.
UACGUAGGGGGCUAGCGUUGUCCGGAAUCAUUGGGCGUAAAGCGCGUGUAGGCGGUCCGGUAAGUCCGCUGUGAAAGUCGGGGGCUCAACCCUCGGAUGCCGGUGGAUACUGUCGGGCUUGAGUACGGAAGAGGCGAGUGGAAUUCCUGGUGUAGCGGUGAAAUGCGUAGAUAUCUGGAGGAACACCGGUGGCGAAGGCGGCAUCCUGGACAGAUACUGACGCUGAGGAGCGAAAGCCAGGGGAGCAAACGGG